GCACUACAUCUCUCACUACGGAUCGUUCGGCACGUACCUGCCGAUGGAGGUUACGCACUA
Molecule: regulatory RNA element, 60 nt
Organism: Corynebacterium durum F0235
Lineage: Bacteria; Bacillati; Actinomycetota; Actinomycetes; Mycobacteriales; Corynebacteriaceae
Rfam family: msiK RNA
Source: Rfam